UUCAAAAUGGUUUGCGUUGGGCAAGAAAGUUUGAAAGUGUGGUUAGAUAUGACGAGUGAUCUAGAAUGAUGCAGAAACAACAUGAUUCUUCAAUAAUACAAACUCUUUUUGCUUUGGAAUGUAGAGGAGGUGGAGGAGAAGCAGGAAGAGGCAGCUGUGACUCCCGGGCGAUGAGCAACUAUCUCUAUCCUCUCGAAACAUUCAAAAUGAUUGGUGAGACGCA
Caenorhabditis elegans is the source of this 223-nucleotide non-coding RNA. The record is from Ensembl. NCBI's taxonomy places the organism in Eukaryota, Metazoa, Nematoda, Chromadorea, Rhabditida, Rhabditidae.